Molecule: ribosomal RNA, 497 nt
Filed under: uncultured bacterium
Lineage: Bacteria
Description: partial 16S ribosomal RNA
Rfam family: Bacterial small subunit ribosomal RNA
Source: RNAcentral
GAUGAACGCUGGCGGCGUGCCUAAUACAUGCAAGUCGAGCGAACAGACGAGGAGCUUGCUCCUCUCACGUUAGCGGCGGACGGGUGAGUAACACGUGGAUAACCUACCUAUAAGACUGGGAUAACUUCGGGAAACCGGAGCUAAUACCGGAUAAUAUAUUGAACCGCAUGGUUCAAUAGUGAAAGACGGUUUUGCUGUCACUUAUAGAUGGAUCCGCGCCGCAUUAGCUAGUUGGUAAGGUAACGGCUUACCAAGGCGACGAUGCGUAGCCGACCUGAGAGGGUGAUCGGCCACACUGGAACUGAGACACGGUCCAGACUCCUACGGGAGGCAGCAGUAGGGAAUCUUCCGCAAUGGGCGAAAGCCUGACGGAGCAACGCCGCGUGAGUGAUGAAGGUCUUCGGAUCGUAAAACUCUGUUAUUAGGGAAGAACAAAUGUGUAAGUAACUAUGCACGUCUUGACGGUACCUAAUCAGAAAGCCACGGCUAACUACGUG